Long non-coding RNA from Chelonoidis abingdonii (Abingdon island giant tortoise), 279 nucleotides. RefSeq lists it as uncharacterized. The record is from RefSeq and is a predicted model, not a curated record. NCBI's taxonomy places the organism in Eukaryota, Metazoa, Chordata, Testudines, Testudinidae.
CUGAAUGUGCGACUGAGGCCACUGCUGCUGCCUAUCAAAUCUUUUGACUUCCCUUCUUUCUUCCAGCUCCUUUCAGCAGUUCUGGGGUUGAUGAUGUGGACUGUCUGCUUAAAACAUCCUAAAGUUACAUGGAGAUUACUGCAGUGAGAUCUGCAGAUGUAAUCGUCCUAGCAGACCCAGGCUGGAAGCACCCUGGAAGUCGACCAUCAUGUUUUGGACUGGGUAGGAGGACAGGAGCUCAGGCCAGGAGUACUCUGCAAUUCUGUGGGACAGAAGAAG